RNAcentral lists this long non-coding RNA (825 nucleotides) under Sus scrofa (pig). RNAcentral's name for it is "lncRNA (ENSSSCG00065018534.1)". Lineage: Eukaryota; Metazoa; Chordata; Mammalia; Artiodactyla; Suidae. The record is from RNAcentral.
GCUGUUAAUGAGAAUGAUGUUGAUGAUAACACCUAGCAACUAUUAGUAAAGAUGACCUAAUGGUUGCCUAAUGCCCAGCAAACCUGACUUUUAUUAUUAUUAUUAUUAUUUAUUUAUUUAUUUAUUUUUUUUGUCUUUUUGCUAUUUCUUGGGCCGCUCCCGCGGCAUAUGGAGGUUCCCAGGCUAGGGGUCGAAUCGGAGCUGUAGCCACCGGCCUAGGCCAGAGCCACAGCAACGCGGGAUCCGAGCCGCGUCUGCAGCCUACACCACAGCUCACGGCAACGCCGGAUCGUUAACCCGCUGAGCAAGGGCAGGGACCGAACCCGCAACCUCAUGGUUCCUAGUCGGAUUCGUUAACCACUGCGCCACGACGGGAACUCCAAACCUGACUUUUAAAUUCGAACACACCCCUGAGCCCUGGACGUUCCCCUCUUGCCAUUAUGACAUGUGGGGUGAAGGUGGGAGGAGGCCUCCGUCUGGCAGAGGCCCCUUUAAAAAUGUACCCGGGUUCCUCCUCUGCCAACCAAGUUCUAAAAAUAUUACUCCAGCAAAAGCUGAAAUAUUUGCAGAGAAAACUGAAUUUCCUGCUACCCUCACCCCCUCCACUCAAAUGGGCCUGCUGCCAUCCUUCUCCCUCAACUGUGGGGGCCAGCGAAGACAGAGGAGAUGUUUUGAAAUCUGAAGAGUCAAGGAGGAUAACUGCAGCACCGAAGGCCAGCAGGUUAACAGAGUGAGGUAGCCUGCUGCCCAAAGCAGCCUGGCCCAGCAUUCCACGGUGCUUCUGUCCCCUUUCCUUGUUCAUCUAUUCAAGAAUCAGAGGUUCAG